GCGUUUUCAAACAGCGGGACUAACGGACGGACGACUUCAGAGCUACUUCGACUUCCAGUGGCAAUUUUACAAAAUAUAUCCCUCAUGGAGUCUGACCGGGACUGGUAUCUCCCGACAUUAUCUGAAGCUUAGGUCCACUAAGAUGUCCCGUUGAUUGAAGCUGACAUGGAGUCACAGUGACAUCCUUAAAAACUUUUGUCAUGUAUAAUACAUCUCUGCAUCUUAAAAUAUUUCUCUGCAUCUUUAAAUAUUUGUUUUUUUAAUUUUUUGUCUAUGUUUUAGAUUUAAGUGUUUAAGCUGUUUUCAUGA
Molecule: long non-coding RNA, 309 nt
Organism: Triplophysa dalaica
Lineage: Eukaryota; Metazoa; Chordata; Actinopteri; Cypriniformes; Nemacheilidae
Exons: 3
Source: RefSeq, a predicted model, not a curated record